UGCGUAGGCGGCUGAUUAAGUCGGAUGUGAAAUCCCUGAGCUUAACCUAGGAAUUGUAUUCGAUACUGGUCAGCUAGAGUAUGGGAGAGGAUGGUAGAAUUCCAGGUGUAGCGGUGAAAUGCGUAGAGAUCUGGAGGAAUACCGAUGGCGAAGGCAGCCAUCUGGCCUAAUACUGACGCUGAGGUACGAAAGCAUGGGGAGCAAACA
RNAcentral lists this ribosomal RNA (207 nucleotides) under uncultured bacterium. Its description in RNAcentral is "partial 16S ribosomal RNA". It matches the Rfam family "Bacterial small subunit ribosomal RNA", at positions 568 to 774 of the family's 1533-position model. The record is from RNAcentral.